RNAcentral lists this transfer RNA (75 nucleotides) under candidate division WWE3 bacterium CG08_land_8_20_14_0_20_40_13. RNAcentral's name for it is "tRNA-His". It matches the Rfam family "tRNA". From Rfam's summary of the family: Transfer RNA (tRNA) molecules are approximately 80 nucleotides in length. Their secondary structure includes four short double-helical elements and three loops (D, anti-codon, and T loops). Lineage: Bacteria; candidate division WWE3. The record is from RNAcentral.
GUGGCCAUAGCUCAACGGCAGAGCGCCUCCCUGUGGAGGAGGAUGUUGUGGGUUCAAAUCCCAUUGGCCACCCCA